GCCCCAUCGAUUAACUGCUUCC
RNAcentral lists this microRNA (22 nucleotides) under Mus musculus (house mouse). RNAcentral describes it as "mmu-miR-5626-5p". Lineage: Eukaryota; Metazoa; Chordata; Mammalia; Rodentia; Muridae. The record is from miRBase by way of RNAcentral.